AGUGAACGCUGGCGGUAGGCCUAACACAUGCAGGUCGAACGGCAGCACAGUAAGAGCUUGCUCUUACGGGUGGCGAGUGGCGGACGGGUGAGGAAUACAUCGGAAUCUACUUUUUCGUGGGGGAUAACGUAGGGAAACUUACGCUAAUACCGCAUACGACCUACGGGUGAAAGCAGGGGAUCUUCGGACCUUGCGCGAUUGAAUGAGCCGAUGUCGGAUUAGCUAGUUGGCGGGGUAAAGGCCCACCAAGGCGACGAUCCGUAGCUGGUCUGAGAGGAUGAUCAGCCACACUGGAACUGAGACACGGUCCAGACUCCUACGGGAGGCAGCAGUGGGGAAUAUUGGACAAUGGGCGCAAGCCUGAUCCAGCCAUACCGCGUGGGUGAAGAAGGCCUUCGAGUUGUAAAGCCCUUUUGUUGGGAAAGAAAAGCAGCAGGUUAAUACCCCGCUGUUCCGACGGUACCCAAAGAAUAAGCACCGGCUAACUUCGUG
RNAcentral lists this ribosomal RNA (492 nucleotides) under uncultured bacterium. Its description in RNAcentral is "partial 16S ribosomal RNA". It matches the Rfam family "Bacterial small subunit ribosomal RNA", at positions 29 to 507 of the family's 1533-position model. The record is from RNAcentral.